AUUGAACGCUGGCGGCAGGCCUAACACAUGCAAGUCGAGCGAGCGGAGGACGGGUGAGUAAUGUCUGGGAAACUGCCUGAUGGAGGGGGAUAACUACUGGAAACGGUAGCUAAUACCGCAUACCAUCAGAUGUGCCCAGAUGUGAUUAGCUAGUAGGUGGGGUAACGGCUCACCUAGGCGACGAUCCCUAGCUGGUCUUAGAGGAUGACCAGCCACACUGGAACUGAGACACGGUCCAGACUCCUACGGGAGGCAGCAGUGGGGAAUAUUGCACAAUGGGCGCAAGCCUGACCCAGCCACGCCGCGUGUGUGAAGAAGGCCUUCGGGUUGUAAAGCUCUUUCGGCGGGGAGGCGUUACCCGCACAAGAAGCACCGGCUAACUCUGUGCCAGACGCCGCGGUAAUAC
Molecule: ribosomal RNA, 406 nt
Filed under: uncultured bacterium
Lineage: Bacteria
Description: partial 16S ribosomal RNA
Rfam family: Bacterial small subunit ribosomal RNA
Source: RNAcentral